GUCAGGUCUAGCAGGAGUUAAUGCAGAGUCAUUUAGUCAGGUCUAGCAGGAGUUAAUGCAGAGUCAUUUAGUCAGGUCUAGCAGGAGUUAAUGCAGAGUCAUUUAGUCAGGUCUAGCAGGAGUUAAUGCAGAGUCAUUUAGUCAGGUCUAGCAGGAGUUAAUGCAGAGUCAUUUAGUCAGGUCUAGCAGGAGUUAAUGCAGAGUCAUUUAGUCAGGUCUAGCAGGAGUUAAUGCAGAGUCAUUUAGUCAGGUCUAGGAGGAGUUAAUGCAGAGUCAUUUAGUCAGGUCUAGCAGGAGUUAAUGCAGAGUCAUUUAGUCAGGUCUAGGAGUUAAUGCAGAGUCAUUUAGUCAGGUCUAGGAGUUAAUGCAGAGUCAUUUAGUCAGGUCUAGGAGGAGUUAAUGCAGAGUCAUUUAGUCAGGUCUAGGAGGAGUUAAUGCAGAGUCAUUUAGUCAGGUCUAGGAGGAGUUAAUGCAGAGUCAUUUAGUCAGGUCUAGAAGGAGUUAAUGCAGAGUCAUUUAGUCAGGUCUAGGAGGAGUUAAUGCAGAGUCAUUUAGUCAGGUCUAGGAGUUAAUGCAGAGUCAUUUAGUCAGGUCUAGGAGGAGUUAAUGCAGAGUCAUUUAGUCAGGUCUAGGAGGAGUUAAUGCAGAGUCAUUUAGUCAGGUCUAGGAGGAGUUAAUGCAGAGUCAUUU
Molecule: long non-coding RNA, 690 nt
Organism: Oncorhynchus masou masou (cherry salmon)
Lineage: Eukaryota; Metazoa; Chordata; Actinopteri; Salmoniformes; Salmonidae
Exons: 3
Source: RefSeq, a predicted model, not a curated record